Molecule: long non-coding RNA, 933 nt
Organism: Passer domesticus (house sparrow)
Lineage: Eukaryota; Metazoa; Chordata; Aves; Passeriformes; Passeridae
Exons: 3
Source: RefSeq, a predicted model, not a curated record
GAUGAGGCUCUGCCACAGCCACACUCCCAAUUACCACAAACUGUGGGCUUACAGGACUGUUCCCUAUUUAUUUUGAGUUACUUUCUUAAUGCUUUUUAGGAUAACUUGCAAAGGUUUUCUAUCAAAAGUUGAAUAGAAAGAAAAGAAAUUGUAUUAAAAAUUCAGUUCAUCUGAAAAGAUGAAAGAAAAAUUCUGAAGAAAAAUUCUUCUAUAACAUUGAAGAAAACGCAAAGGAAGAAAAAGUGUGAUGUCAGAGGUCUGCUAGCUGAUCUACAGCAGCUGCCAUCACAUCCAAGACUUUACUAAACAUAUGAUUGCUUUUGGACCAGCCUGUCCUUACACAGUCCCUGGAAAGAAAAUGAAAACAGAACAUUUGGAUGAUACAAAUAUAAAUACUCUUUAGGAUCAGUUAAAGCUGAAGAAGGAAGCCAACAGAGGUACAUUCUGAACUGCUACAUGUCACUGUCUGCAAGGCUAGGCAGCUCUAGGCACAGCAAGUCCUUGUCCAGGGUAUCACAUGGCUGAGGUGAAGAGCUGCAGGGCUGCCCUGCCUGUGAUUGCACCCAGGAGAGGAGCCAGCUCUCUUGGAAGUGAUGCUGCAGCAGUGGGUACAAGAGACAGAACAAGGUGCUAUCAGCUGGGAUUAAUUGCUCCUGCUCACUUGCUCCACUUACUUACCUUCCCACUCCAUCUUUGCUCCUCAUCCCUUCCCUAGUAGUCUACUUCUAGUUUCUCAUUUUCUGGAAAGAAAAAGUUUAUUUGUCUGUGCAUCUGAAUAUCCUUGAGCUGUUUUUGUUCAUGACUGCAAGUCUCAUUGAUUUAAUUUUUAAUUGUUUUUGGAGUAUGUUUACAGAUCAAGCUUUGUUCAGGUUGAAUUGUUGCAAUGAAGUUACUGGUAGAAUGAAAAUAAGUUUGAGUGACUUUCUAAUUUUU